CCUACGGGAGGCAGCAGUGAGGAAUAUUGGUCAAUGGACGAGAGUCUGAACCAGCCAAGUAGCGUGAAGGAUGACUGCCCUAUGGGUUGUAAACCUCUUUUAUAUGGGAAUAAAAUGUUCCACGUGUGGGGUUUUGUAUGUACCAUAUGAAUAAGGAUUGGCUAACUCCGUGCCAGCAGCCGCGGUAAUACGGAGGAUUCGAGCGUUAUCCGGAUUUAUUGGGUUUAAAGGGAGCGUAGGUGGAUUGGUAAGUCAGUUGUGAAAGUUUGCGGCUCAACCGUAACAUUGCAGUUGAAACUGGCAGUCUUGAGUGCAGGAGAGGUGUGCGGAAGGCGUGGUGUAGCGGUGAAAUGCUUAGAUAUCACGAAGAACUCCGAUUGCGAAGGCAGCUCACUGGACUGCAACUGACACUGAGGCUCGAAAGUGUGGGUAUCAAACAGGAUUAGAUACCCCUGUAGUC
RNAcentral lists this ribosomal RNA (460 nucleotides) under uncultured bacterium. RNAcentral describes it as "partial 16S ribosomal RNA". It matches the Rfam family "Bacterial small subunit ribosomal RNA", at positions 338 to 795 of the family's 1533-position model. The record is from RNAcentral.